GGCGCUUAGCUCAGCUGGUUCAGAGCGUCUGCCUUACAAGCAGAGGGUCGGGGGUUCGAAUCCCUCAGCGCCCA
This 74-nucleotide transfer RNA is filed under the name Prevotellaceae bacterium. Its description in RNAcentral is "tRNA-Val(tac)". It matches the Rfam family "tRNA". Rfam says of the family: Transfer RNA (tRNA) molecules are approximately 80 nucleotides in length. Their secondary structure includes four short double-helical elements and three loops (D, anti-codon, and T loops). Lineage: Bacteria; Pseudomonadati; Bacteroidota; Bacteroidia; Bacteroidales; Prevotellaceae. The record is from RNAcentral. RNAcentral also lists the same sequence under 2 other names.